This is a non-coding RNA of Caenorhabditis elegans, 80 nucleotides long. The record is from Ensembl. NCBI's taxonomy places the organism in Eukaryota, Metazoa, Nematoda, Chromadorea, Rhabditida, Rhabditidae.
UACUAAAAAGUUGUCAACAAACAAAAUGUAGGACAUUUUGUGCUAAACAUUUUGUUAGUUGACAACUUUUUGAUAACUUU